Molecule: long non-coding RNA, 935 nt
Organism: Rosa chinensis
Lineage: Eukaryota; Viridiplantae; Streptophyta; Magnoliopsida; Rosales; Rosaceae
Exons: 2
Source: RefSeq, a predicted model, not a curated record
CCUGAUCACUCUUGAACUCUCAACGUCGAGACCCGUUUCCUCGACCCAGAAACCCGUGCCGGCAACCCGAUUCCGUCCCCAUCUUCCGGCCACGACACAGUGGCGAACCGACCCCCUUUCUAUUCGUCUCCUCAACGCCGACGUCCUCCUGGUCACGGAUUGUCCGUUGGACAACGGAAGGCGACAAAAUGAGGUUGAGAAACCGCUGCAACUCCGGCGACUCCGGUCACCAUUGUUGAUGCAUGAGGUAUGAAACAUGCUCUUCUCUUCGUGCUCUACAUUGGUGUAAAUGGAUUUUGGAAUUGAUCGAGUUUUGUUGGAUUGGUGUUUUGGGUGUUGUCGGCUGAUGUCGAGGCUACUGUUCCGGCAGAGUGUUCCAGAGUUCUUUGAUUCAAUUUUGAUGAUAAUUCUGGUCCUAGAACGAGCAGCGAGAUGUGGGUUGCAUUGAAAUUCAGAAUUGGUGUGGUGGAGCACAGUCGGGUAGCAGAACAAAGAGUUCGAAAAUCCGUCAAGUUUGAUAGUGAAAAGUCUGGUUUUGUUCGUACUGGAACAAGACAUAGACAUGCAAAGGGAGAGAGAUUCAGAAGCUUGCCAGAGUUGGUAAUUGGGUUUGAGUAUUCCUAUCUCAAUUGGUUGUGCACUGAUCUUUGGUUGUGCUUAUAGCAUAGGAUUUCAACUUGGAGGUUUUAAAGACGAAUUGUAUAAUUGGAGGAGGGCUGUCCUAGUUCAUUUUGAGUUCCACGGUGAAGAAUGGGAGAGUGAUGGCGAAAUGUAUAAAGGAUGCAGAACCUCGGUGGGCUAAGAACUCCAACAAUUGCAAUGGAAAAAGUAUUCAUGGUAAGUUGGGAGUUUGUAUGUAAUCCUAUAUUUAAGUUAAAUUUAAGAAAAGUAGUAACGUGAUUGAGGAGGAAAAGUGAUGUUUGUCUGGGAAUAAA